UCAUCAGUGAGGUACAUCCUUACCUGUUACUCCCUACCAAGGAGUAUCAGAUCAUGAUGAAUGCAGAUUCAUGAUCAUAUCAUAUGAUUAAUAUCUCCGUCUUUUAUGGAAUGCAACACCCUACUAGACCCAUUCUGAU
This is a small nucleolar RNA of Pungitius pungitius (ninespine stickleback), 139 nucleotides long. RefSeq annotates it as U8 small nucleolar RNA. The transcript has a single exon. The record is from RefSeq and is a predicted model, not a curated record. NCBI's taxonomy places the organism in Eukaryota, Metazoa, Chordata, Actinopteri, Perciformes, Gasterosteidae.